This 450-nucleotide ribosomal RNA is filed under the name uncultured bacterium. RNAcentral's name for it is "partial 16S ribosomal RNA". It matches the Rfam family "Bacterial small subunit ribosomal RNA", at positions 354 to 796 of the family's 1533-position model. The record is from RNAcentral.
GUGGGGAAUUUUGGACAAUGGGCGAAAGCCUGAUCCAGCAAUGCCGCGUGCAGGAUGAAGGCCCUCGGGUUGUAAACUGCUUUUGUACGGAACGAAACGGUCCGGGUUAAUACCCUGGGCUAAUGACGGUACCGUAAGAAUAAGCACCGGCUAACUACGUGCCAGCAGCCGCGGUAAUACGUAUGGUGCAAGCGUUAAUCGGAAUUACUGGGCGUAAAGCGUGCGCAGGCGGUUUUGUAAGAGAGGCGUGAAAUCCCCGGGGUCAACCUGGGAAUUGCGCUUGUGACUGCAAGGCUGGAGUGCGGCAGAGGGGGAUGGAAUUCCGCGUGUAGCAGUGAAAUGCGUAGAUAUGCGGAGGAACACCGAUGGCGAAGGCAAUCCCCUGGGCCUGCACUGACGCUCAUGCACGAAAGCGUGGGGAGCAAACAGGAUUAGAUACCCGUGUAGUCC